CGGCGGACGGGUGAGUAACGCGUGGGUAACCUGCCUCAUACAGGGGGAUAACAGUUGGAAACGGCUGCUAAUACCGCAUAAGCGCACAGUACCGCAUGGUACGGUGUGAAAAACUCCGGUGGUAUGAGAUGGACCCGCGUCUGAUUAGCUAGUUGGUGGGGUAACGGCCUACCAAGGCGACGAUCAAUAGCCGACCUGAGAGGGUGACCGGCCACAUUGGGACUGAGACACGGCCCAA
RNAcentral lists this ribosomal RNA (238 nucleotides) under uncultured bacterium. RNAcentral describes it as "partial 16S ribosomal RNA". It matches the Rfam family "Bacterial small subunit ribosomal RNA", at positions 96 to 334 of the family's 1533-position model. The record is from RNAcentral.